This 537-nucleotide ribosomal RNA is filed under the name uncultured bacterium. Its description in RNAcentral is "bacterial SSU rRNA". It matches the Rfam family "Bacterial small subunit ribosomal RNA", at positions 772 to 1308 of the family's 1533-position model. The record is from RNAcentral.
ACUCAAUAGAUACCCAGGUAGUCCACGCCCUAAACGAUGUCUACUAGUUGUUGGUGGAGUAAAAUCCAUGAGUAAACGCAGCUAACGCGUGAAGUAGACCGCCUGGGGAGUACGGUCGCAAGAUUAAAACUCAAAUGAAUUGACGGGGGCCCGCACAAGCGGUGGAUUAUGUGGAUUAAUUCGAUGCAACGCGAAAACCUUACCUGGCCUUGACAUGUAACGAACUUUCCAGAGAUGGAUUGGUGCUCGAAAGAGAACGUUAACACAGGUGCUGCAUGGCUGUCGUCAGCUCGUGUCGUGAGAUGUUGGGUUAAGUCCCGCAACGAGCGCAACCCUUGCCAUUAAUUGCCAUCAUUUAGUUGGGCACUUUAAUGGGACUGCCGGCGACAAACCGGAGGAAGUGGGGAUGACGUCAAGUCCUCAUGGCCCUUAUGGCCAGGGCUUUCACACGGUAAUACAAUGGUCGGUACAGAGAGUUGCCAACCCGCAGGGGGAGCCAAUCUCAGAAAGCCGAUCGUAGUCCGGAUUGUAGUCUGC